RNAcentral lists this non-coding RNA (121 nucleotides) under Eucalyptus grandis. Its description in RNAcentral is "Bacterial large subunit ribosomal RNA". It matches the Rfam family "Bacterial large subunit ribosomal RNA", at positions 1063 to 1184 of the family's 2925-position model. Lineage: Eukaryota; Viridiplantae; Streptophyta; Magnoliopsida; Myrtales; Myrtaceae. The record is from Rfam by way of RNAcentral.
GAGAUAGAGGCGGUAGGGGUGUAGAGACAGCCAAGAGGUUUGCUUAGAAGCAUCCACCCUUGAAAGAGUGCGUAAUAGCUCACUAAUUGAGUGCUCUUGCAUCGAAGAUGAACGGGGCAAA